UCGGAUUGAAGGCUGAAAUUACGCCUUCCAUGAAGCUGGAAUUGCUAGUAAUGGCAGGUCAGCAUACUGCCGUGAAUACGUUCCCGGGCCUUGUACACACCGCCCGUCACACCAUGGGAGUUGGAAAUACCCGAAGCCUGUGAGCUAACUUUUAGAGGCAGCAGUCGAAGGUAGAGCCAAUGAUUGGGGUGAAGUCGUAACAAGGUAGC
RNAcentral lists this ribosomal RNA (209 nucleotides) under uncultured bacterium. Its description in RNAcentral is "partial 16S ribosomal RNA". It matches the Rfam family "Bacterial small subunit ribosomal RNA", at positions 1293 to 1500 of the family's 1533-position model. The record is from RNAcentral.